This 373-nucleotide ribosomal RNA is filed under the name uncultured bacterium. Its description in RNAcentral is "bacterial SSU rRNA". It matches the Rfam family "Bacterial small subunit ribosomal RNA", at positions 523 to 898 of the family's 1533-position model. The record is from RNAcentral.
AUACGGGGGAUACGAGCGUUAUCCGGAUUUAUUGGGUUUAAAGGGUGCGCAGGCGGAUCGACAAGUCAGGGGUGAAAAGUUGAGGCUCAACUUCAAUCGUGCCUUUGAUACUGUCGGACUAGAGUGUGAGAGACGUGGCCGGAAUGUGAUGUGUAGCGGUGAAAUGCUUAGAUAUGUCACAGAACACCGAUCGAGAAGUCAGGUCACGAGUUCACAACUGACGCUCAUGCACGAAAGCGUGGGGAUCAAACAGGAUUAGAUACCCUGGUAGUCCACGCUGUAAACGAUGAUCACUCGUUGUUGGGCAGUAAUGUUCAGCGGCCAAGUAAAAGCGAUAAGUGAUCCACCUGGGGAGUACGAUCGCAAGGUUGAA